AUGGAGCUGGCGAGGACGAGAAUGAAAGCGAGCCCGGUCCUCACGGCGCUGUUCGCGGCGGCGGUCGGGUUCUUCGUCGGCGUUUCUUUUCCUGUGGACAUCACGCCAAAGCUUCAGUGUGGCCUCCUGCCUUGGAGCCGCGGCGGCGAUCCCGCCAACUGCAGCUUCAGUCACAGCAGCACGCUGGGCAGACUGUGGGGGGCGCCGUUCAGGAACAGCAGCACUGGUGCCCCAAAUGCCACCGGUUCAGCACCGGUUGUAGAGGUUGCGGCAGCAAAGCCUGGAGGCUCAGAGAGGCGUCUGCCACCGGGGAUCGUGGUCUCGGAGUCUGAUCUUCACCUGCGCCGGCUCUGGGGAUCCCCGAGAGAGGACAGCGCUGCUGGGAAGUACCUCCUGGCGCUCGCCGUAGGGUACGCUGAGAGAGGCAAUGUCAAUGCAACUGUCCACAAGUUCUCCAAGAACUUCGACAUCGUGCUGUUCCACUACGAUGGCCGCACGACAGAGUGGGACGAGGAGUUCCAGUGGUCGAAGAAGGUUGCCCACGUCAGUGCCAGGAAGCAGACCAAAUGGUGGUUCGCCAAGAGGUUCCUGCACCCGAGCGUGGUGGCGCCCUAUGACUACGUGUUCGUGUGGGACGAGGACCUCGGCGUCGACAACUUCGCCGCGGAACCGUACCUUGACAUCGUGAGGAGGCACGGGCUGGAGAUCUCGCAGCCGGGGCUGGACACGACCAAGGGGUCGGCGCCGAUGUACGACAUCACCGCCAGGAAAACCGGCAGCGAGAUGCACAAGACAGAUGCAGGGGGUGAGCAUUGCUGGGACGUGCACAAGCGGCCGUGCAGCGGGUUCGUCGAGAUGAUGGCGCCGGUCUUCUCGAGGGAUGCGUGGAGAUGCGUGUGGCACAUGAUCCAGAAUGACCUUGUCCAUGGAUGGCCUAUCGACUCCUAUUUCUGGAGAUGCGUCGAUGAUCCCGAAGAGCAGAUUGGCGUCGUAGACGCGCAGUACGUGGUCCACCGUGCAGUCCCGACGCUCCAGGGCGAGGGCGACAAAGAAAAGCCAGGGGGCCGUUUCGAGGUAAGAGCGCGUCAAUUUGAGGAGCUGGAGGCCUUUAACUCUAGGUUUGCCAAUGCGGACAAGGAGCUCGCCAACAGAUCGUCGUCAACACUGAAUUAG
Molecule: ribosomal RNA, 1173 nt
Filed under: Triticum aestivum (bread wheat)
Lineage: Eukaryota; Viridiplantae; Streptophyta; Magnoliopsida; Poales; Poaceae
Description: partial small subunit ribosomal RNA
Source: RNAcentral